UACGUAGGGGGCGAGCGUUGUCCGGAGUUACUGGGCGUAAAGGGCAUGUAGGCGGUCUGCUAAGUUCGGAGUGACAGUCACCAGCUUAACUGGUGAAGGACUUCGAAAACUGGCGGACUUGAGAGCGAAAGAGGGACACGGAAUUCCGGGUGGAGCAGUGAAAUGCGUAGAGAUCCGGAGGAACACCAAAGGCGAAGGCAGUGUCCUGGCUCGUUUCUGACGCUGAGGUGCGAAAGCCAGGGGAGCGAACGGG
Molecule: ribosomal RNA, 253 nt
Filed under: uncultured prokaryote
Description: partial 16S ribosomal RNA
Rfam family: Bacterial small subunit ribosomal RNA
Source: RNAcentral